RNAcentral lists this ribosomal RNA (506 nucleotides) under uncultured bacterium. RNAcentral's name for it is "partial 16S ribosomal RNA". It matches the Rfam family "Bacterial small subunit ribosomal RNA", at positions 27 to 507 of the family's 1533-position model. The record is from RNAcentral.
GGACGAACGCUGGCGGCGUGCCUAAUACAUGCAAGUAGAACGCACAGUUUAUACCGUAGCUUGCUACACCAUAGACUGUGAGUUGCGAACGGGUGAGUAACGCGUAGGUAACCUGCCUGGUAGCGGGGGAUAACUAUUGGAAACGAUAGCUAAUACCGCAUAAUAUUAAUUAUUGCAUGAUAAUUAAUUGAAAGGUGCAGUUGCACCACUACCAGAUGGACCUGCGUUGUAUUAGCUAGUAGGUGAGGUAACGGCUCACCUAGGCGACGAUACAUAGCCGACCUGAGAGGGUGAUCGGCCACACUGGGACUGAGACACGGCCCAGACUCCUACGGGAGGCAGCAGUAGGGAAUCUUCGGCAAUGGACGAAAGUCUGACCGAGCAACGCCGCGUGAGUGAAGAAGGUUUUCGGAUCGUAAAGCUCUGUUGUAAGAGAAGAACGGGUGUGAGAGUGGAAAGUUCACACUGUGACGGUAUCUUACCAGAAAGGGACGGCUAACUACGUG